Molecule: transfer RNA, 73 nt
Filed under: Trichonephila inaurata madagascariensis
Lineage: Eukaryota; Metazoa; Arthropoda; Arachnida; Araneae; Nephilidae
Rfam family: tRNA
About the family: Transfer RNA (tRNA) molecules are approximately 80 nucleotides in length. Their secondary structure includes four short double-helical elements and three loops (D, anti-codon, and T loops).
Source: Rfam by way of RNAcentral
GUCCCUGUAGCGCAAUGGAUAGCUUGUUGGACUUCUAAUCUAAAGGUUGUGGGUUCGAAUCCCGCCUGGGAUG